CCAAACUCACUCUUAGAGAUUCUUAAACCUAGGCAGGAUGAAGUCUAAGCCUAGUCAGUGCUUGUGUGUCUUGUGAUGACCUGUAGGAAGUCCCCCACCAUGGUAGCCUCCUCCAGUUACUGUUAACUUUUGUAAUGAGAGGCCCUGGCCAAUGACUGGUAAGAUGAUGUGGUUUGAAAGCUGGUGGCUUUCUCCUUGGGGGACCUAUUUACUGCUGUGACAUUUCUUUGCAGGAAAACAUUUGUUGGGAACACUUUGCUGCUCAUUCUAGAAAUCUGUCCUAGAGGAUUUUUUUUUUUUUUUCAUUUGUUCACUCUUUUUUCCUCUCUCAAGUUCUUUCCAAGUGUCAUAUACUGAUUCCUGUACUUCUGUCUAUAGUUUCUGGGUUCAGUCUUCAAGGGUUUUUUGGAGAUAAAGACAUAAAAAGUAUUGUCACAUAAAUAAACAUAUGGUUACAGAUGUGU
Molecule: long non-coding RNA, 464 nt
Filed under: Bos taurus (domestic cattle)
Lineage: Eukaryota; Metazoa; Chordata; Mammalia; Artiodactyla; Bovidae
Description: long non-coding RNA NONBTAT017560
Source: RNAcentral